AACGAACGCUGGCGGCAUGCCUAACACAUGCAAGUCGAACGCCCUCUUCGGAGGGAGUGGCGCACGGGCGCGUAACGCGUGGGAACCUGCCCUUAGGUUCGGAAUAACUCAGAGAAAUUUGAGCUAAUACCGGAUAAUGUCUUCGGACCAAAGAUUUAUCGCCUUUGGAUGGGCCCGCGUUGGAUUAGCUAGUUGGUGGGGUAAAGGCCUACCAAGGCGACGAUCCAUAGCUGGUCUGAGAGGAUGAUCAGCCACACUGGGACUGAGACACGGCCCAGACUCCUACGGGAGGCAGCAGUGGGGAAUAUUGGACAAUGGGCGAAAGCCUGAUCCAGCAAUGCCGCGUGAGUGAUGAAGGCCUUAGGGUUGUAAAGCUCUUUUACCCGAGAUGAUAAUGACAGUAUCGGGAGAAUAAGCUCCGGCUAACUCCGUGCCAGCAGCCGCGGUAAUACGGAGGGAGCUAGCGUUGUUCGGAAUUACUGGGCGUAAAGCGCACGUAGGCGGCUUAUUAAGUCAGAGGUGAAAUCCCGGGGCUCAACCCCGGAACUGCCUUUGAAACUGGUAAGCUAGAAUCCUGGAGAGGCGAGUGGAAUUCCGAGUGUAGAGGUGAAAUUCGUAG
RNAcentral lists this ribosomal RNA (619 nucleotides) under uncultured bacterium. RNAcentral describes it as "bacterial SSU rRNA". It matches the Rfam family "Bacterial small subunit ribosomal RNA", at positions 28 to 693 of the family's 1533-position model. The record is from RNAcentral.